AGUGAACGCUGGCGGUAGGCCUAACACAUGCAAGUCGAACGGCAGCACAGUAAGAGCUUGCUCUUACGGGUGGCGAGUGGCGGACGGGUGAGGAAUACAUCGGAAUCUACUUUUUCGGGGGGGUUAACGUAGGGAAACUUACGCUAAUACCGCAUACGACCUACGGGUGAAAGCAGGGGAUCUUCGGACCUUGCGCGGUUGAAUGAGCCGAUGUGGGAUUAGCUAGUUGGCGGGGUAAAGGCCCACCAGGGCGACGAUCCGUAGCUGGUCUGAGGGGAUGAUCAGCCACAGUGGAGCUGAGACACGGUCCAGGGUCCUACGGGAGGCAGCAGUGGGGAAUAUUGGAAAAUGGGGGGAAGCCUGCUCCAGCGAUGGCGCGUGGGUGAAGAAGGCCUUCGGGUUGUAAAGCCCUUUUGUGGGGAAAGAAAAGCAGCAGGUUAAUACAACGCUGUUCUGACGGUACCGAAAGAGUAAGCACCGGCUACCAUCGU
This 491-nucleotide ribosomal RNA is filed under the name uncultured bacterium. Its description in RNAcentral is "partial 16S ribosomal RNA". It matches the Rfam family "Bacterial small subunit ribosomal RNA", at positions 30 to 506 of the family's 1533-position model. The record is from RNAcentral.